UACGAAGGGUGCAAGCGUUACUCGGAAUUACUGGGCGUAAAGAGCUUGUAGGCGGUUUGUCGCGUCUGCCGUGAAAAUUCGAGGCUCAACCUCGAACUUGCGGUGGGUACGGGCAGACUAGAGUGUGGUAGGGGAGACUGGAAUUCCUGGUGUAGCGGUGAAAUGCGCAGAUAUCAGGAGGAACACCGAUGGCGAAGGCAGGUCUCUGGGCCACUACUGACGCUGAGAAGCGAAAGCAUGGGGAGCGAACAGG
RNAcentral lists this ribosomal RNA (253 nucleotides) under uncultured bacterium. Its description in RNAcentral is "partial 16S ribosomal RNA". It matches the Rfam family "Bacterial small subunit ribosomal RNA", at positions 524 to 776 of the family's 1533-position model. The record is from RNAcentral.